RNAcentral lists this long non-coding RNA (326 nucleotides) under Phoenix dactylifera (date palm). RNAcentral describes it as "long non-coding RNA (PDAC_LNC008376)". Lineage: Eukaryota; Viridiplantae; Streptophyta; Magnoliopsida; Arecales; Arecaceae. The record is from RNAcentral.
GAAUUGGGUUUUUUAAAAACUUUUCAACUACUUCUAAUCUUUUAGAGUUAAUUAAGCUAAGUUGUAUGGAUGCAUAGUGGAAUUUAAACUUAGCAAGAGUAUGAUUCUAAUCUAAUCAACUAUUAAGCAACGGACUCAAUAAAAGAUUAGUCUAAGUUUGCCUAAGUAUGCAAUUCAAUACAAUGAGUCUUAAUGCUGUUAUAUUGAAUGAGACUUGAUUAAGUAAAUUGAAUAUGCUUGCAAUAAAGGAUGCACGGUGAAGAGUUAAGCAAGCAAUUUAUCUAAGUAAGUAAGUGAGUGAGGAAGUUAGAUAACAAAGAGCAUCA